Molecule: transfer RNA, 77 nt
Filed under: Bifidobacterium sp. UTCIF-39
Lineage: Bacteria; Bacillati; Actinomycetota; Actinomycetes; Bifidobacteriales; Bifidobacteriaceae
Also listed under: 2 other names
Description: tRNA-Val
Rfam family: tRNA
About the family: Transfer RNA (tRNA) molecules are approximately 80 nucleotides in length.
Source: RNAcentral
GGGUGAUUAGCUCAGUUGGUUAGAGCGCCACCUUUACACGGUGGAUGUCGGGGGUUCGAGUCCCUCAUCACCCACGA